UAAGUCCCAUAACGAGCGCAACCCCUAUCUUUAGUUACCAGCAUGUAAUGGUGGAGAAUCUAAAGAGACUGCCUACGUAACCGGAGAUGAAGUGUGUAGCUGAGCGUCAAAUCAUGCACGGCCCUUAAAUCCAGGGCUACACCACAUGUUACAAUGGUCCGCACAAAGGGCAGUUACCUAGCGAUAGGAUGCUAAUCUCUAAAACCGGUCUCAGUUCGGAUCAGACUCUGCAACUCGACUCCGUGAAGCUGGAUUCGGUAGUAAUCGCAUAUCAGCCAUGAUGCGGUGAAUACGUUCCCGGGCCUUCUACACACCGCCCGUCAAACCAUGGAAGUUGGGGGUACCUGAAGUCUGUUACCGCAAGG
Molecule: ribosomal RNA, 365 nt
Filed under: uncultured Cytophagales bacterium
Lineage: Bacteria; Pseudomonadati; Bacteroidota; Sphingobacteriia; Sphingobacteriales
Description: bacterial SSU rRNA
Rfam family: Bacterial small subunit ribosomal RNA
Source: RNAcentral